Molecule: long non-coding RNA, 2081 nt
Filed under: Lynx pardinus (Iberian lynx)
Lineage: Eukaryota; Metazoa; Chordata; Mammalia; Carnivora; Felidae
Source: RNAcentral
AUGUCAUUGCUGAUAAUGCAAUCUCCAGCAGAAUCCCAGCUGACUUCUUCACCCAAACCGGCAUCAUACCAUUGGCCGUGAUGCUGUCCCCAGGAGGGAAUAACCUUCCAGAAGUUUCCAGAAGUGGUUCCUGUCGGUACAGAGGGCAAUUCUCAAGAGGAUGCAGCUGUGAGCUAUCAGCAGCCAAACCUUACACUUCCUGGUAAAGAGGAUCUGGACAGGGUGUCAACAAUGUUUAUAUAGUCCACUUCUAGCAUUGCUCAGAUCCAUAUGCUUUGUACAUAAGUUCAUUCUAUCCAGGCAUUCUGGCUAACUUCUGGGGACACUUACAAGGGGAGUCCCUAAACUGUAAAUGCUAUGAUCUCCCUUCUCUAGCACCCAGUCUAGAGUCAUCUCCCCCUCGACUAGCACUUGUUAGUCAAGAUGGCUUACCCAGUGGAGUAAGCCAGACCCUCAUUCCUGAGGGUUUUGAGCCCUAAGAGAUCAUGCCCUUAAUCAGGCUGUAAUUCUUUACUUACUCAUUUACGGUUAAAGCUGAGUAUAGGAGGACCAAGAGAUAUCCCAAGGAUCAUGUGCGCAUCAAACACUUCCCACUGUGUCCAUGUUAGCAGCAGUCCUACCUUCUCGUAACAGAGUCAAUUGUCCCAAACAGUAUGGUAACUUCUUUGCUUGAUGGUCUGCAGGCAUUAGGAGCUCAAAGCGACCAGAUGACGGUCAUAUCUUUAAGUUUAUUGAGAUUCUUACGUUGUGCCUGAUAGAAGCAUCCUCCCCGCACCCCUUACCCCCUGAUCCUCAAGUAGAUCACUGGGAGUGAUGUUGAAUAGGGUCACUUCUGUUUCCGCCCCUUGGUUCCAGAGCCCUUGGAUUCUACCUAGGGGCUGAGGAUAAAGCACCCUAUUAUGGUCAUGUAGGUUUACACUGUAUUGUAAAGGACAGCACCCCAUUCUUGCUGGCCACCAAUGCACCUUCAAAAGGCCAUCCCGAUGCUCUACCGGGUCCCACUCUCACAGACCCACUCAAAUCCUCUUCACCAGAUCUUCUCUCACAUUUUCCUAUCUUGCACCUUCUGGGCCCCUGACCAACCAGCCCACUGACCUUGAGUUCACAUACACCCUUGCCUCAGGCCACUUCUCACUCUCCAAAGCGGAUAAUCACUUACACUGCCUAAAGACCUACUGAUUGAGAAUUUGCUCUCAUCACUGACUUUUAGGACCACUCCAGAUGGGGCCAUUGAGAAGCGAUAGUCCGUAUUUGGCUUGCCCUAAAACAUAUCAAACCAACUCCUCCACGAACCAGACCGGGAUUUUUUUCUCGUCUGGCCAAUCAAAUGGUUGCAGGAUUUCUCAUGUUGCCACAGGCAUGGGCUAGGACAAAGCUAUCACUGUAACAGAUGUACAUAAUCUGGAGAACUGAGGACCCUUGUUCAGUUAACUUAUUCGUGCCCACCAAGUCUGUUUGGGCUUCUUCCCAAAGGUACUGUUCCCAUUGUAAGACGAAUUGCUAUUGUAUCCACCCAAUCUUAUGACUUGGCAGGUCUCACAAUAACCAGCUGGUUAUAUGGGCAACUGCUCACAGUCACUUGAUAUUUUGUGGUCAAGCACUGAGUCUCUAUCAGGGUCUAAUCGUAUGCCAGGAGAUGCUUUUCAAAUGAUGAAACUUUCUUUACUGCAGAUGGCAUAACCUUACUCCAGAACCCGAGAGAUCUAUGCUGGAACUCUCCUGUUGAGGAUAGCCCGAGAAUCCACACACCGUCUCUUCCUACCACAGAUACCUCUAGUACCACAGAAUUCUCCAGGCCAUACGGCCCCUGCCGCGGGGCUGCUUGUAUAUCAUAGCCUGGAUCUGCUGCGGAGGCCUCUCUUGCAUUCCUAAGCACAGAGUACGGUGCCCCCAAAAUAGAAGAGGCCUACUUAAGGCACCGCGCUUCUUUCUUGGGGUAAAAUACACAAGAUGCAAUAACUUACCCUUUACUUUAGAGAGAACGUCCCAGAAUGCGCCAGCUCACUGGACUCCUAAAAACUUAACCAACGUGGCAGGACCGUGCAUCUUUGCAGGAUUUAUUUUCCACUCUCCGGAGUGCA